This 3244-nucleotide long non-coding RNA is filed under the name Ananas comosus (pineapple). RNAcentral describes it as "long non-coding RNA (ACOM_LNC040685)". Lineage: Eukaryota; Viridiplantae; Streptophyta; Magnoliopsida; Poales; Bromeliaceae. The record is from RNAcentral.
GAUAAAGAUCUUUUCGCAAUAAAAUUCAUAUUUGAUUUAAAAUUUAAUUUUGAAUCACUUUAAUAUUUAAAUUCAAAUACGAUGAUAUAUUAUGUAGGUGAUGGAUGUGUAUGGUAGGUGGAUUAUUGAGAUAUUUGAAAAAUUCACGGAUAUUACGUUGCGAAAGAAUUGGCGGGUGCAUAUAUUACACUAAUAUUUAAAUUCAAAUACGAUGAUAUGUUUAAUUCAAAAUUAUGAUAGGUCAUAUUACUUAUGAGAAAUUAGUUAAAAAGAUAAAGAUAUUUUCGCAAUAAAAUUCAUAUNUUGAGAAACGCGUAGAUAGAAAAUAUGAUAUAAAUGCGAGGGUAUUAUUGUCACAAAAAGUGACAGAUACUUUUAUUUUCAAUCAUUAGAUAAGAUCUAAUUGCAAAAAAUUAAUAUCUUUAUUUUAGAAUAAAUUAUUACUUAGUUAAUUAUUAUAUUUAAACCAAAUUAAAUAAAAUUAAUUCAAAUAAGUUCAAAUUAAGUCAAAUUAUACCAAUUAAACAAUUAUCUAAAUCUUAAACUGUAAAUAUUAAUUCAAAAUUCAAAAUUUAAUUUUGAUAUAUUUUAAAAUUUAAAUUCAAAUACGUUAAAAUUUAAUAGAUUAUUUGAGAUGAAUGAUUCAAAAUUUUUGGAUAUGAAAAAAUUAGUUAAAAAGAUAAAGAUAUUUUCGCAAUAAAAUUCAUAUUUGAUUUAAAAUUAAAUUUUGAAACAUUUUAAUAUGGCUAAAUUAUGGAAAACCCCCCUGUUAAAACCCGCUUUUUCACUUUCCCUCCUGUCAUUUAAAAACCUACACUUUGCCCCCUUGUAAAAUACAAAAUGUUCACAGGGGGGUACGAUGUGACAAAAUAACCAUUUUGCCCUUCGCCAUUUUCGUCUUCUCCCUCAUCCUCCUCAUCCGCGGCGGAGGAGGCCGACCUCGGGCGGGACGCAGGUGGCGAGGCCGUCGUCGAGAAGGACGAUCUCGUUGAGAGUGUCGGCCAUGCGGCCGAUGGAGGGCGGGAUGCAGCCGCCGAGUUUGUUGUGGGCGAGGAAGACGAUCGAGGCUGGGAAGUCGCCGAGGUUGGCAGGGAUGGGGCGGCGGCGGCUGAGGCGGUUGGAGUUGAGGAAGAUGGCGUCGAGGGGGCGGUCGAAGAGGAUGUUGAGCUCGUGGAGGAGGGUGAGGCCGGCGAGGGCACCGUCCCGGAAGCCAUCGAAGCAACAGGGAAGAGGAGCGGAGGGGUAUUUUUGGCAUAAAAAAAUAUUAUAACGAAACCCUAAUGGCAGGGGGUAAAGUGCACAUUUUUUAUUUUACAAGUGGGUAAAGUGUAGGUUUUUAAAUAAUAGGGGGGAAAGUGAAAAAUCGAGUUUUGACAGGAGAGUUUUCUGUAAUUUAGCCUUUUAAUAUUUAAAUUCAAAUACGAUGAUAUGUUUAAUUCAAAAUUAUGAUAGGUCAUAUUACGUAUGAGAAAGGUUAACUAGAUAUUAUAUAGGCAGUGAAUGUGUAUGGUAGGUGGAUUAAUGAGAUAUUUGAAAAAUUCACGGAUAUUACGUUGCGAAAGAAUUGGCGGGUGCGGAUAUUACGCGUGAGAAGAAAAAUAUUUGAGAAACGCGUAGAUAGAAAAUAUGAUAUAAAUGCGAAAGUAUUAUUGUCACAAAAAGUGACAGAUACUUUUAUUUUCAAUCAUUAGAUAAGAUCUAAUGGCAAAAAAUUAAUAUUUUUAUUUUAGAAUAAAUUAUUACUUAGUUAAUUAUUAUAUUUAAACCAAAUUAAAUAAAAUUAAUUCAAAUAAGUUCAAAUUACGUCAAAUUAUACCAAUUAAACAAUUAUCUAAAUCUUAAACCGUAAAUACUAAUUCAAAAUUCAAAAUUUAAUUUCGAUAUAUUUUAAGAUUUAAAUUCAAAUGCGUCAAAAUUUAAUGGAUUAUUUGAGAUGAAUGGUUCAAAAUUUUUGGACAUGAAAAAAUUAGUUAAAAAGAUAAAGAUAUUUUCGCAAUAAAAUUCAUAUUUGAUUUAAAAUUAAAUUUUGAAUCAUUUUAAUAUUUAAAUUCAAAUGCGAUGAUAUGUUUAAUUCAAAAUUAUGAUAGGUCAUAUUACGUAUGAGAAAGGUUAACUGGAUAUUAUGUAGGUGGUGGAUGUGUAUGGUAUGUGGAUUAAUGAGAUAUUUGAGAAAUUCACGAAUAUUACGUUGCAGGUGGUGGAUGUGUAUGGUAGGUGGAUUAAUGAGAUAUUUGAUAAAUUCACAAAUAUUACGUUGCGAAAGAAUUGGCGGGUGCGGAUAUUACGCGUGAGAAGAAAAAUAUUUGAAAAACGCAUAGAUAGAAAAUAUGAUAUAAAUACGAGAGUAUUAUUGUCACAAAAAGUGACAGAUGUUUUUAUUUUCAAUCAUUAGAUAAGAUCUAAUGACAAAAAAUUAAUAUCUUUAUUUGAGAAUAAAUUAUUACUUAGUUAAUUAUUUGAAAUGAUUGGUUGAAAAUUAUUGGAUUUAAAAAUAUUAGUAAAAAAGGAUAGAGGCAUUUUUGGAAAGAGGAAAAAAUUCAAAACUCACGCUUUUAUAAAUAGUAUAGAUAUAGAUAUAGAUAUUGCAUGUCACUUCCAUACUAUCACUCCUUCUGUAAUUUUUACUUCGUAAUUUUUUUUUUCUACUAUCACUCCUGGAAUUUUCUUAGUUCUUAGAUGUCGAUGCUUUAAAAUAGAACAUAUUAUUUUUAUUUUAUUAUUUAAAUACGAAGCAAAUAUUAAUUUUUUUUCUUGGAUGUCUUAUUGUUCUCAGGAUAUGGCACUUGGGUAUGAUUCUAUACGUGACAUCACUCUUCUUGGAGACAAAUGGAAGAUCAAAGUCAGAGUGAUUUGUCUGUAUACUAUGCCUGAAUUUCAUCAUCCAGAGAUGAUGAAUAGCCUAGAAUUAGUUCUUAAAUAUUAAUAUUAUUUGUAAUUUUUCAUAUCAAUUUUAGUUAUCAUUUUAUUUUGCACAUCAAUAUGCAAAUGUGAAUUGUUUUGCAUACCAAUUCAUAGAUAAUAAAGUAGGGUUGAAUUUUACUUUUUACUUAAGUAUUUAUUUUGGUCUAUAAUUUUUUUUCUCUAGUUUUUUGUACUUUAAUAUGUAUUAUUAUUAAGAUUGAUAGUAUAUUUCUUUAUUUGUUAAAAAAAUAUAAUAUUAAUUAGAAUAUUUUUUUAUCAUCACAUAAUAACUUUUGUUAUUUUAUAUUAUUAUAUUAUCCGUGUAUCAUACGGGUCAAAAACU